CAACAACCGAAAGGAGGUGAUCCAGUGUCUCAUUGUCUUUCGCCGCGGCCGGCGGUCACGACCUGGAUUCUCGCCUCUGCCGAGGUUUGCGUCGCCUGAGGCGGCGUUCCAGGUCCCUCGCCGGACCCGGCUCGACAAUGGAAGGGCUGCCCUCGCGGGCAGCCCU
Molecule: small RNA, 166 nt
Filed under: Rhodovulum sp. PH10
Lineage: Bacteria; Pseudomonadati; Pseudomonadota; Alphaproteobacteria; Rhodobacterales; Paracoccaceae
Description: caulobacter sRNA CC2171
Rfam family: caulobacter sRNA CC2171
Source: Rfam by way of RNAcentral